UGGGGAAUAUUGGACAAUGGGCGAAAGCCUGAUCCAGCCAUGCCGCGUGUGUGAAGAAGGUCUUCGGAUUGUACAGCACUUUAAGUUGGGAGGAAGGGCAGUAAGCGAAUACCUUGCUGUUUUGACGUUACCGACAGAAUAAGCACCGGCUAACUCUGUUCCAGCAGCCGCGGUAAUACAGAGGGUGCAAGCGUUAAUCGGAAUUACUGGGCGUAAAGCGCGCGUAGGUGGUUCGUUAAGUUGAAUGUGAAAGCCCCGGGCUCAACCUGGGAACUGCAUCCAAAACAGGCGAGCUAGAGUAGGGCAGAGGGGGGUGGAGUUUCCUGUGUAGCGGUGAAAUGCGUAGAUAUAGGAAGGAACACCAGUGGCGAAGGCGACCACCUGGGCUCAUACUGACACUGAGGUGCGAAAGCGUGGGGAGCAAACAGG
This 429-nucleotide ribosomal RNA is filed under the name Pseudomonadota bacterium. RNAcentral's name for it is "Proteobacteria bacterium partial 16S ribosomal RNA". It matches the Rfam family "Bacterial small subunit ribosomal RNA", at positions 355 to 776 of the family's 1533-position model. Lineage: Bacteria; Pseudomonadati; Pseudomonadota. The record is from RNAcentral.